Molecule: ribosomal RNA, 470 nt
Filed under: uncultured bacterium
Lineage: Bacteria
Description: bacterial SSU rRNA
Rfam family: Bacterial small subunit ribosomal RNA
Source: RNAcentral
GAGUUUGAUCGUGGCUCAGAAUGAACGCUGGCGGCAUGCCUAACACAUGCAAGUCGAACGAAACCUUCGGGUUUAGUGGCGCACGGGUGCGUAACGCGUGGGAAUCUGCCCCUUGGUUCGGAAUAACAGCGAGAAAUUGCUGCUAAUACCGGAUGAUGACGUAAGUCCAAAGAUUUAUCGCCGAGGGAUGAGCCCGCGUAGGAUUAGCUAGUUGGUGUGGUAAAGGCGCACCAAGGCGACGAUCCUUAGCUGGUCUGAGAGGAUGAUCAGCCACACUGGGACUGAGACACGGCCCAGACUCCUACGGGAGGCAGCAGUGGGGAAUAUUGGACAAUGGGCGAAAGCCUGAUCCAGCAAUGCCGCGUGAGUGAUGAAGGCCUUAGGGUUGUAAAGCUCUUUACCCGGGAUGAUAAUGACAGUACCGGGAGAAUAAGCUCCGGCUAACUCCGUGCCAGCCGCCGCAGUAACAC